RNAcentral lists this ribosomal RNA (255 nucleotides) under uncultured bacterium. RNAcentral describes it as "partial 16S ribosomal RNA". It matches the Rfam family "Bacterial small subunit ribosomal RNA", at positions 524 to 776 of the family's 1533-position model. The record is from RNAcentral.
UACGUAGGGUGCGAGCGUUGUCCGGAAUUAUUGGGCGUAAAGAGCUCGUAGGCGGUCUGUCGCGUCGAUCGUGAAAACUUGGGGCUUAACCCUGAGCUUGCGGUCGAUACGGGCAUGACUGGAGUUCGGCAGGGGAGACUGGAAUUCCUGGUGGUAGCGGUGAAAUGCGCAGAUAUCGGGAGGAACACCAAUGGCGAAGGCAGCUCGCUGGGACGUUACUGACGCUGAGACGCGAAAGCGUGGGGAGCAAACAGG